RNAcentral lists this ribosomal RNA (574 nucleotides) under uncultured bacterium. RNAcentral's name for it is "bacterial SSU rRNA". It matches the Rfam family "Bacterial small subunit ribosomal RNA", at positions 8 to 573 of the family's 1533-position model. The record is from RNAcentral.
AGAGUUUGAUCCUGGCUCAGAUUGAACGCUGGCGGCAGGCCUAACACAUGCAAGUCGAGCGGUAGCACAGAGAGCUUGCUCUCGGGUGACGAGCGGCGGACGGGUGAGUAAUGUCUGGGAAACUGCCUGAUGGAGGGGGAUAACUACUGGAAACGGUAGCUAAUACCGCAUAACGUCGCAAGACCAAAGAGGGGGACCUUCGGGCCUCUUGCCAUCAGAUGUGCCCAGAUGGGAUUAGCUAGUAGGUGGGGUAAUGGCUCACCUAGGCGACGAUCCCUAGCUGGUCUGAGAGGAUGACCAGCCACACUGGAACUGAGACACGGUCCAGACUCCUACGGGAGGCAGCAGUGGGGAAUAUUGCACAAUGGGCGCAAGCCUGAUGCAGCCAUGCCGCGUGUAUGAAGAAGGCCUUCGGGUUGUAAAGUACUUUCAGCGAGGAGGAAGGCAUUGUGGUUAAUAACCACAGUGAUUGACGUUACUCGCAGAAGAAGCACCGGCUAACUCCGUGCCAGCAGCCGCGGUAAUACGGAGGGUGCAAGCGUUAAUCGGAAUUACUGGGCGUAAAGCGCACGCA